ACUGGAGAUCUCUGCCUACCUGGGGCCUUCCAAAGCUUUGAUCUUGUGCUGGGCCAGAGAGUGAACUGCAGCCCAGCAAGUAGAGCAUCCAUGAGGCAGGCUUCUUGGUCCCAGGUGCAUCCUGGAUUGCACUACAGCCUGUGGUUAUUGCAUUUAUAUGAGAAGCUGAAAUGACCUUCGAGUUUUUGUGUCAGCUCAGGCAAAGGAUGGAUUUGUGCCCUGUAUGCAGCCUUCAGUGAUUAUUAUUAUCUCUGCUUCAUCAGCUAUCAGAAACAGCAAAGAGGAAUUAAGAGAGCUGUUAACACCACUAGUGGAGUAGCAGACCGGCACCAAGGGCAGAGGGCUGAGAAUAACAUGCCUUCCAGAAUCUGUCCUGUUGACCAGGAUUUCUCCCUCCUACAGAAUUCCCAUAGAGAUCAAAGAUAGGGAGCUGGCAGCAUGAGGAAAUCCUGGAUUCCUUGGAUGUCGCUCCAGUAAAGUUAAUAAGACUAUAAAUAGCAUAUAAAAACCAGGAGACUGGAAUUCUUACAGUUCUCCCAAAGAUAGAGCUAUCAGUAGACUUAUAAAGAAAUGCCAACAAAUGAUUGUUGUUCUAUUUCUCAAAAAAGGUUGCAUACAACAAAACCUGUGAAUAAUUCUGUUUCUCCAUGAAGGUAGCUUACAGCAAAACCUCAUAUGUUACACUGUUUGAGAGAAAGGCAACAGUGACAGAACAGAUCAAUCACAAGUGGUUGCUGGGAAGAGGGAAUGUAAAAUCGUGCCCAGGCUUGUACAAAUGCUGUCUUAAGAGGGAUGUUCUUGGGAGAGAAACAAUGUGACAGCAAGCCCUGGUUAGACACAGCUGUGCAGUCCUCAUUGGGAAGAAAGGGGCUCAGAGAGCAAGUGGGGAGAUGAUUCACAGGUGUUUUGAAUAGUGACUGUAAAAUACCUCAGCAUUGCACCUGAUAAAAAUGGCACUGACCUUUAUAGAAAGCCAUUCACAGAGGAAAUGUGAGCAGAUAAGCACCGUUCUGGAUAUUAUUUAUGUAUUAUUUAUGUGCUCAACCUACAAUAUACUUGCUGAGAUAGACUAGUGAUGCUACUAAAGGAACUCAGGCCCUAUCAGCAAUUGCAAGUGACCUGAACUCUUCAGGGAAAUGUCUGGUAAAAUGUCUGCGCAGUCUCUCACGUUCUACUUUGGUGCUAAUAAACUGUUAACCAGAAUGAUUUUAUACUGCAUCUCUGAACUCUGUAAAUACCACCUGCAUAUUUGUCAGUAACUUUUAUGCCUAGCUUGUUUUUGCAUAUUUUUAUAUUAAAGGUUGUGCUUAUCUC
Molecule: long non-coding RNA, 1314 nt
Organism: Gallus gallus (chicken)
Lineage: Eukaryota; Metazoa; Chordata; Aves; Galliformes; Phasianidae
Source: Ensembl